CCUACGGGGGGCAGCAGUGAGGAAUAUUGGUCAAUGGACGAGAGUCUGAACCAGCCAAGUAGCGUGAAGGAUGACUGCCCUAUGGGUUGUAAACUUCUUUUAUAUGGGAAUAAAAUGUUCCACGUGUGGGAUUUUGUAUGUACCAUAUGAAUAAGGAUCGGCUAACUCCGUGCCAGCAGCCGCGGUAAUACGGAGGAUCCGAGCGUUAUCCGGAUUUAUUGGGUUUAAAGGGAGCGUAGGUGGAUUGUUAAGUCAGUUGUGAAAGUUUGCGGCUCAACCGUAAAAUUGCAGUUGAAACUGGCAGUCUUGAGUACAGUAGAGGUGGGCGGAAUUCGUGGUGUAGCGGUGAAAUGCUUAGAUAUCACGAAGAACUCCGAUUGCGAAGGCAGUUCACUGGACUGCAACUGACACUGAGGCUCGAAAUUGUGGGUAUCAAACAGGAUUAGAUACCCUAGUAGUC
This 460-nucleotide ribosomal RNA is filed under the name uncultured bacterium. RNAcentral's name for it is "partial 16S ribosomal RNA". It matches the Rfam family "Bacterial small subunit ribosomal RNA", at positions 338 to 795 of the family's 1533-position model. The record is from RNAcentral.